This 755-nucleotide long non-coding RNA is filed under the name Cairina moschata (Muscovy duck). Its description in RNAcentral is "domestica (muscovy Duck (domestic type)) lncRNA (ENSCMMG00000013434.1)". The record is from RNAcentral. Lineage: Eukaryota; Metazoa; Chordata; Aves; Anseriformes; Anatidae.
UGAUUUACUACAAGGAUUUUUUCCUUUUUAAAGGAAAACUUUGGGCAUUGUGAUCAUUUUUAUGAAUAGGGUUGAAAAUGUGAAUUCCAAUAAUUGCCCUUUAAAGAAAGUAUUAUGUUUCAGAGGCUGGGAAAGCUAAAUGUACUCUGGAAACAAUUUUAAAGCUUAAUAGGAGUUUUUAUCUAGAUCUUAAAGGGAAAUAUAUAUUAGUUUCUUUUUAGGAGAAGUCAUAUGAGUUUCUACACACUCAUUUUGAAAAUACACGCUUAUACUAACACUGUUUAGAUCUCCGGUUGGUAAAUUUAAAUAACUUACCCUGUAGUAAAAGAGACUACAACAAAGAUACUAGUCUCUAUUGCACUAUGUUUUCCAGUACCCACUUUUUAGUAUUUUGUUUUGUUUUAUUCUUCUCCAUGUGUUUUUUAACCCCUUGAUGUAGUAUUUCACGUUUUAUUUUAUUCUAGAAGAAUAAGUGAACUGAGAGAAGAACUGGCCACAUAAAAUCCUGAACAAGCAAUUUUAUUGAAGAAACUAGACAAGACAGGAACUACUUUCUUUUCCAAAGAAAUUACUGGCAAAACUCCCACUGGCUUCUGGGGUGAAAUCAUACUCAUCCUUUUUGUCCUUAUUCCAAUGAAUAUUCCUGAUGCAGAGAAUUAAUGUAAGUAUUUGCAAUUCUGCUUCUGGCUGGAGCUGAAAAGGUGAUGCUGCAGUUAGUCUGGAGAGUUGUCUCUUAAGAUUUGUUUUUACUUAGA